UACGUAGGGUGCAAGCGUUGUCCGGAUUUAUUGGGUUUAAAGGGUGCGUAGGUGGUUAGUUAAGUCAGUGGUGAAAGCGGGUUGCUCAACAAUCGAACUGCCAUUGAUACUGAUUAACUUGAGAGAGGUUGAGGUUGGUGGAAUGGAUGGUGUAGCGGUGAAAUGCAUAGAUAUCAUCCAGAACGUCAAUUGCGAAGGCAGCUGACUGGGCCUUAUCUGACACUGAGGCACGAGAGCGUGGGGAUCAAACAGG
Molecule: ribosomal RNA, 253 nt
Filed under: uncultured bacterium
Lineage: Bacteria
Description: partial 16S ribosomal RNA
Rfam family: Bacterial small subunit ribosomal RNA
Source: RNAcentral